GCAGUUGUCGUGAUGAAAUUAUAGUUCAGCUGAUUGGCUGUGCUGAGAUACUUAUGUCUUUCGCUCCUAUCUGAACAAUUGC
Small nucleolar RNA from Uloborus diversus, 82 nucleotides. RefSeq annotates it as small nucleolar RNA snR60/Z15/Z230/Z193/J17. The transcript has a single exon. The record is from RefSeq and is a predicted model, not a curated record. Lineage: Eukaryota; Metazoa; Arthropoda; Arachnida; Araneae; Uloboridae.